RNAcentral lists this transfer RNA (85 nucleotides) under Corynebacterium sp. Its description in RNAcentral is "tRNA-Leu". It matches the Rfam family "tRNA". Rfam says of the family: Transfer RNA (tRNA) molecules are approximately 80 nucleotides in length. Their secondary structure includes four short double-helical elements and three loops (D, anti-codon, and T loops). Lineage: Bacteria; Bacillati; Actinomycetota; Actinomycetes; Mycobacteriales; Corynebacteriaceae. RNAcentral also lists the same sequence under 10 other names. The record is from RNAcentral.
GCCCUGGUGGCGGAAUUGGCAGACGCGCUGCACUCAAAAUGCAGUGUCUUCGGGCGUGUGGGUUCGAGUCCCACCCAGGGCACCA